This 377-nucleotide ribosomal RNA is filed under the name uncultured bacterium. Its description in RNAcentral is "bacterial SSU rRNA". It matches the Rfam family "Bacterial small subunit ribosomal RNA", at positions 521 to 896 of the family's 1533-position model. The record is from RNAcentral.
UAAUACAGAGGUGGCUAGCGUUGUUCGGAUUUAUUGGGCGUAAAGGGUCCGUAGGCGGCCCGGAAAGUCGGAUGUGAAAUCCUACAGCUCAACUGUAGAACUGCAUUCGAUACUGUCGGGCUAGAGUGCGAGAGGGGUAAAGGGAAUUCCCGGUGUAAGGGUGAAAUCUGCAGAGAUCGGGAGGAACACCAGUCGCGAAGGCGCUUUACUGGCUCGCCACUGACGCUGAGGGACGAAAGCUAGGGUAGCAAACGGGAUUAGAUACCCCGGUAGUCCUAGCCGUAAAUGAUGGUCACUAGGUGUUGGGGGGGUUAAACCCUUCAGUGCCGUCGCUUACGCAUUAAGUGACCCGCCUGGGGAGUACGGUCGCAAGGCUG